Molecule: transfer RNA, 85 nt
Filed under: Felis catus (domestic cat)
Lineage: Eukaryota; Metazoa; Chordata; Mammalia; Carnivora; Felidae
Rfam family: tRNA
About the family: Transfer RNA (tRNA) molecules are approximately 80 nucleotides in length. Their secondary structure includes four short double-helical elements and three loops (D, anti-codon, and T loops). Further hydrogen bonds mediate the characteristic L-shaped molecular structure. tRNAs have two regions of fundamental functional importance: the anti-codon, which is responsible for specific mRNA codon recognition, and the 3' end, to which the tRNAs corresponding amino acid is attached (by aminoacyl-tRNA synthetases). tRNAs cope with the degeneracy of the genetic code in two manners: having more than one tRNA (with a specific anti-codon) for a particular amino acid; and 'wobble' base-pairing, i.e. permitting non-standard base-pairing at the 3rd anti-codon position.
Source: Rfam by way of RNAcentral
GCCUGGGUGGCUCAGUGGGUUGAGUGUCUGACUUCGGCUCAGGUCAUGAUCUCGCGGUCUGUGAGUUCGAGCCCCGCGUCGGGUA